CGAAUGCUGACAUAAGUAACGAUAAAGCGGGUGAAAAGCCCGCUCGCCGGAAGACCAAGGGUUCCUGUCCAACGUUAAUCGGGGCAGGGUGAGUCGACCCCUAAGGCGAGGCCGAAAGGCGUAGUCGAUGGGAAACAGGUUAAUAUUCCUGUACUUGGUGUUACUGCGAAGGGGGGACGGAGAAGGCUAUGUUGGCCGGGCGACGGUUGUCCCGGUUUAAGCGUGUAGGCUGGUUUUCCAGGCAAAUCCGGAAAAUCAAGGCUGAGGCGUGAUGACGAGGCACUACGGUGCUGAAGCAACAAAUGCCCUGCUUCCAGGAAAAGCCUCUAAGCAUCAGGUAACAUCAAAUCGUACCCCAAACCGACACAGGUGGUCAGGUAGAGAAUACCAAGGCGCUUGAGAGAACUCGGGUGAAGGAACUAGGCAAAAUGGUGCCGUAACUUCGGGAGAAGGCACGCUGAUAUGUAGGUGAAGUCCCUCGCGGAUGGAGCUGAAAUCAGUCGAAGAUACCAGCUGGCUGCAACUGUUUAUUAAAAACACAGCACUGUGCAAACACGAAAGUGGACGUAUACGGUGUGACGCCUGCCCGGUGCCGGAAGGUUAAUUGAUGGGGUCAGCGCAAGCGAAGCUCUUGAUCGAAGCCCCGGUAAACGGCGGCCGUAACUAUAACGGUCCUAAGGUAGCGAAAUUCCUUGUCGGGUAAGUUCCGACCUGCACGAAUGGCGUAAUGAUGGCCAGGCUGUCUCCACCCGAGACUCAGUGAAAUUGAACUCGCUGUGAAGAUGCAGUGUACCCGCGGCAAGACGGAAAGACCCCGUGAACCUUUACUAUAGCUUGACACUGAACAUUGAGCCUUGAUGUGUAGGAUAGGUGGGAGGCUUGGAAGUGUGGACGCCAGUCUGCAUGGAGCCGACCUUGAAAUACCACCCUUUAAUGUUUGAUGUUCUAACGUUGACCCGUAAUCCGGGUUGCGGACAGUGUCUGGUGGGUAGUUUGACUGGGGCGGUCUCCUCCUAAAGAGUAACGGAGGAGCACGAAGGUUGGCUAAUCCUGGUCGGACAUCAGGAGGUUAGUGCAAUGGCAUAAGCCAGCUUGACUGCGAGCGUGACGGCGCGAGCAGGUGCGAAAGCAGGUCAUAGUGAUCCGGUGGUUCUGAAUGGAAGGGCCAUCGCUCAACGGAUAAAAGGUACUCCGGGGAUAACAGGCUGAUACCGCCCAAGAGUUCAUAUCGACGGCGGUGUUUGGCACCUCGAUGUCGGCUCAUCACAUCCUGGGGCUGAAGUAGGUCCCAAGGGUAUGGCUGUUCGCCAUUUAAAGUGGUACGCGAGCUGGGUUUAGAACGUCGUGAGACAGUUCGGUCCCUA
RNAcentral lists this ribosomal RNA (1364 nucleotides) under Escherichia coli. RNAcentral's name for it is "partial 23S ribosomal RNA". It matches the Rfam family "Bacterial large subunit ribosomal RNA", at positions 1291 to 2640 of the family's 2925-position model. The record is from RNAcentral. Lineage: Bacteria; Pseudomonadati; Pseudomonadota; Gammaproteobacteria; Enterobacterales; Enterobacteriaceae.